UAUUACAAUAACGUUACAACUCCUAAUUUAAUUGUACAAUGCAUGCAAUUAUUUUAAAACUUUUCAUUUGUAAUCCAUAAUGUAAUGUAAUGUAAUGUAAUUGAAACAUUUGUUUUAAUAUCAUAAUUAUUUUAUAAAAUGUAUUACUCCUAACAAUCAGUGAAAUGAAUGUGAAACGCAUGUUAUUGUGUUUUAGGUCCACUUAUCAGUGAAAGAUAUUUUUUGAUGUUCCACAUGACUCACAGCUUCUGCUGUAAUGUAUAAAGUUCUUAAUUUACAAGUUGUUGUGUGUUUAUCACAUCAAUUAAUAAUUUAUGGUGUGUUUGAUUUCAUUACUAGGACAAUGCAGGACAAAGGCUGUCAAAUAACUGUGGAGUGUUUGUCUUGAUGGCAAGUACGUACUGUAAAUGAGGAACAUCGAGGUGUAAUCAAUUGCUGUUACCCAUUUAACUUUUUUUGGUGUGUCUUUGCAUAUUAUAGUAUGCACUGUAUGUUAUUCUGGGACAGAAGUUUGACUUCACUGAACUAAACAUGAAGAACAUAGGAAAAUGGUGGUGUGCCAUCUUGCUUGAAAAUUAAACAUGGGAGAAAGAGAAAAUGAGCUGUUGUACCUGAAGAAGAAGAAGAAGAAUGCUCUGCACUCCCUGAAACCUACGGGAAGAAAAAAACUGAACUCGCAUAUGAAACAGACCAAACCCCAGUUGUGCCCUCUAUUUUUAGCAAGGAUGAGCUGUUAAAAGAUGAUGACCCUCCAUCAUGCUUUAUCUUCAAGGUAGUUGAAUGUUAUAUAAUGUGCUUUUUAAAAAAAUUUAAUGGCCUGUGCUAACUUUUCAGUUAUCAGGAGCGUUGCUGAAGAACAUACUUCUUGAAGUUGCUGCCUACACGACCCUGUCAUUGGCUUGCUCAAGGUUCAGGGACAUAGUGAUGACAAGUUCAAGAAUCAGGCACACUUCUUAUGGCUAGAAAGUAAAUAUUGACAUUAAAAAAUAAAAUGCAUAACAAGAACAUCAUUGAUAAUGUUAUGUGAUUUUUUUUCACCUCAGGUGUUACAUGCUGGAAAAAAGACAUCUCACUACAAACAGCUCUUCUGGAAGAUGUACUCAAUCUCCACUUGUUUGGAGUUUGAGUACAAAUGCUGCACACCUGGUACUUUUUGUGUAAAUUGGUGAUGAAUAAACUAGUUGUUAGUCUAAAGGAAAACUAAAAAUCAAAUUUACUUAUGUCAUCCCUUGGAGUUUAAAAGUUUUGGACACCAUUCAAUUGACCAACAGAGCUGAGAAAUUAUUCCUAAUGUUUGUAAAUGUUCACUGUCAACCAUAAACCCUAGUUGUUAUUUUGCUUCUUGUGUAUCCACCAGGUUAUGCUGGGAAGGGAAAGCGAGGUGAGCUCCAGGGCAUUUAUUCAAAAACCUUCCACCCUGGAUUUUGCAGAUUUGACUCCAUGCAGAUCAGUUCUAAUGAGCUGAUAUAGUUUCCUUACAAAGACUAAAAAUAAUAAAAUAAAAUAAACACUUUUGCAAUCAAUUCUGAGUGACUUGUACAUGAUUUUAUUCAUUGAAAAAAUAAUUUAAAUGUAAUAUAUGUGUAACAUGUUCAGAAGAACAUUAGUCUGUUAUUUAAAAAAAUAAUGCAGUAAAGAUGGAUGGUAACUUUAUUUUACAUUAGCCACAUGU
Non-coding RNA from Paramisgurnus dabryanus, 1672 nucleotides. The record is from RefSeq and is a predicted model, not a curated record. NCBI's taxonomy places the organism in Eukaryota, Metazoa, Chordata, Actinopteri, Cypriniformes, Cobitidae.